Molecule: long non-coding RNA, 490 nt
Organism: Manis pentadactyla (Chinese pangolin)
Lineage: Eukaryota; Metazoa; Chordata; Mammalia; Pholidota; Manidae
Exons: 3
Source: RefSeq, a predicted model, not a curated record
GUCCCUCUCCGCCGGCAGGGCUGACGGCUUUGGGCGGCCGCCGCCAGCAUGUGGCUCCCAGAUGUGGCCGAGGAGGCUCCAGCUGCAGUGUGUCAUCGUUUAAGCAGGAGUUUUUCGGCGCGUACAUACUGGCACCUUCCAGGACCACGCGGAUAUCCAGAGAGUGAUUUCCAAACCCCAAAAUCCUCCGGUGCCAGGAUGGAGUCAUUGAGAUCUCUGCACGCCUGGAUGCCUGUUUCCUUGAGGUUCUCAGCCUGCCGACUUUUAACCCCAGGUGUAACCACAGCGUGCCCGGGGGCAGGGCCGCCUGAGAACUCGGGUCUUUUGAGGCUCACCCAUGUCACCGUGUGGGAGGAGUUCGUUCCCUUGUUCCGCCGAGUGGGGUUCUCCGGUGGGGCUGUGCUGCAGACCGCUUGUGAAUUUACCCGGGGAAAUACAUCUGGGAUUUUUCCAGUUUUUAGUAACUAUGAAUAAAGCUGCUGUGAACAUC